RNAcentral lists this ribosomal RNA (430 nucleotides) under uncultured bacterium. Its description in RNAcentral is "bacterial SSU rRNA". It matches the Rfam family "Bacterial small subunit ribosomal RNA", at positions 303 to 731 of the family's 1533-position model. The record is from RNAcentral.
AUCAGCCACACGGGCAUGAGACACGGGCCCGACUCCUACGGGAGGCAGCAGUAAGGAAUAUUGGACAAUGGGCGAAAGCCUGAUCCAGCCAUGCCGCGUGAAGGAUGAAGGUCCUCUGGAUUGUAAAUUCUUUUAUUUGGGACGAAAAAAGGGAAUUCUUUCCCACUUGACGGUACCAGAUGAAUAAGCACCGGCUAACUCCGUGCCAGCAGCCGCGGUAAUACGGAGGGUGCAAGCGUUAUCCGGAUUCACUGGGUUUAAAGGGUGCGUAGGCGGGUAGGUAAGUCAGUGGUGAAAUCCUGGAGCUUAACUCCAGAACUGCCAUUGAUACUAUCUAUCUUGAAUAUUGNGGAGGUAAGCGGAAUUNGNCAUGUAGCNGUGAAAUGCUUAGAUAUGACGUAGAACACCCCAUUGCGAAGGCAGCCUCCUA